CCUACGGGAGGCAGCAGUGGGGAAUAUUGCACAAUGGGGGAAACCCUGAUGCAGCGACGCCGCGUGAGUGAAGAAGCGUUUCGGCGCGUAAAGCUCUGUCAGCGGGGAAGAAACACGGUUCGCGAGAGCCGCGGACGGUACCCGACCAAGAAGCCCCGGCUAACUACGUGCCAGCAGCCGCGGUAAUACGUAGGGGGCAAGCGUUAUCCGGAUUCACUGGGUGUAAAGGGAGCGUAGACGGCGAGACAAGUCUGGAGUGAAAGGCCGGGGCCCAACCCCGGGACUGCUCUGGAAACUGGCGGGCGGGAGUACCGGAGGGGCAGGCGGAAUUCCUAGUGUAGCGGUGAAAUGCGUAGAUAUUAGGAGGAACACCAGUGGCGAAGGCGGCCUGCUGGACGGAGACUGACGCUGAGGCUCGAAAGCGUGGGGAGCAAACAGGAUUAGAUACCCUAGUAGUC
RNAcentral lists this ribosomal RNA (458 nucleotides) under uncultured bacterium. RNAcentral describes it as "partial 16S ribosomal RNA". It matches the Rfam family "Bacterial small subunit ribosomal RNA", at positions 338 to 795 of the family's 1533-position model. The record is from RNAcentral.